GACGAACGCUGGCGGCGUGCUUAACACAUGCAAGUCGAACGGAAAGGCCUCUUUCGGGGGGUACUCGAGUGGCGAACGGGUGAGUAACACGUGAGUAACCUGCCCUUGACUUUGGGAUAACUUCAGGAAACUGGGGCUAAUACCGGAUAGGAGCUCCUGCUGCAUGGUGGGGGUUGGAAAGUUUCGGCGGUUGGGGAUGGACUCGCGGCUUAUCAGCUUGUUGGUGGGGUAGUGGCUUACCAAGGCUUUGACGGGUAGCCGGCCUGAGAGGGUGACCGGCCACAUUGGGACUGAGAUACGGCCCAGACUCCGACGGGGGGCAGAAGUGGGGAAUAUUGCACAAUGGGUGGAAGCCUGAUGCAGCAACGCCGUGUGCGGGAUGACGGCCUUCGGGUUGUAAACCGCUUUCGCUCAUGACGAAGCUUUGUGUGACGGUAGUGGGUAAAGAAGCACCGGCUAACUACGUG
Molecule: ribosomal RNA, 467 nt
Filed under: uncultured bacterium
Lineage: Bacteria
Description: partial 16S ribosomal RNA
Rfam family: Bacterial small subunit ribosomal RNA
Source: RNAcentral